RNAcentral lists this long non-coding RNA (392 nucleotides) under Coffea arabica (coffee). RNAcentral's name for it is "long non-coding RNA (CARA_LNC007529)". The record is from RNAcentral. Lineage: Eukaryota; Viridiplantae; Streptophyta; Magnoliopsida; Gentianales; Rubiaceae.
UCCUACUGGUGCCAAGGUCACCAAGGCUGCUGCUAAGAAGGGUGCCAAAUGAACCGUGCAAGUUCAUGUUGGUCGGCCCUCAAAUGAAAUUUACUACUACAAUAAAUCGUGUCAUGCAAACUUUUCAUGUGCUGCUUCAGUAGUUUUGUCUAUGUUUUAUUUGUUGUGUCCUAGUUUUCUGCCCUGUAUGCUGGUUAGCCUCUCUCAGAAUUGGGUGCUUGACAGACGGUGGCAGAUCCUACAAAACUGAGUCUGUGAUUUCUGCUUUUGGAUGUUUUUGGUUUGAGGUGCUUGGGAAUAUGUUACUAUAAUUCCAGGCUGCUCAAGAGUUUUGUGGUUUGCCUUCCAAGGAUAAUAUACUACUAUAAUUCGUGAAAAAAAAACAAAAAAAA